This 465-nucleotide ribosomal RNA is filed under the name Vreelandella stevensii. RNAcentral describes it as "partial 16S ribosomal RNA". It matches the Rfam family "Bacterial small subunit ribosomal RNA", at positions 338 to 795 of the family's 1533-position model. Lineage: Bacteria; Pseudomonadati; Pseudomonadota; Gammaproteobacteria; Oceanospirillales; Halomonadaceae. The record is from RNAcentral.
CCUACGGGAGGCUGCAGUGGGGAAUAUUGGACAAUGGGCGAAAGCCUGAUCCAGCCAUGCCGCGUGUGUGAAGAAGGCCUUCGGGUUGUAAAGCACUUUCAGUGGGGAAGAAAGCCUUGGGGCUAAUACCCUCGAGGAAGGACAUCACCCACAGAAGAAGCACCGGCUAACUCCGUGCCAGCAGCCGCGGUAAUACGGAGGGUGCGAGCGUUAAUCGGAAUUACUGGGCGUAAAGCGCGCGUAGGCGGUCUGGUAAGCCGGUUGUGAAAGCCCCGGGCUCAACCUGGGAACGGCAUCCGGAACUGUCAGGCUAGAGUGCAGGAGAGGAAGAUAGAAUUCCCGGUGUAGCGGUGAAAUGCGUAGAGAUCGGGAGGAAUACCAGUGGCGAAGGCGGCCUUCUGGACUGACACUGACGCUGAGGUGCGAAAGCGUGGGUAGCAAACAGGAUUAGAUACCCCAGUAGUC